Molecule: ribosomal RNA, 769 nt
Filed under: uncultured Pseudoalteromonadaceae bacterium
Lineage: Bacteria; Pseudomonadati; Pseudomonadota; Gammaproteobacteria; Alteromonadales; Pseudoalteromonadaceae
Description: bacterial SSU rRNA
Rfam family: Bacterial small subunit ribosomal RNA
Source: RNAcentral
AUUGAACGCUGGCGGCAGGCCUAACACAUGCAAGUCGAGCGGAAACGAGUUAUCUGAACCUUCGGGGAACGAUAACGGCGUCGAGCGGCGGACGGGUGAGUAAUGCCUAGGAAAUUGCCCUGAUGUGGGGGAUAACCAUUGGAAACGAUGGCUAAUACCGCAUGAUGCCUACGGGCCAAAGAGAGGGACCUUCGGGCCUCUCGCGUCAGGAUAUGCCUAGGUGGGAUUAGCUAGUUGGUGAGGUAAGGGCUCACCAAGGCGACGAUCCCUAGCUGGUCUGAGAGGAUGAUCAGCCACACUGGAACUGAGACACGGUCCAGACUCCUACGGGAGGCAGCAGUGGGGAAUAUUGCACAAUGGGCGCAAGCCUGAUGCAGCCAUGCCGCGUGUAUGAAGAAGGCCUUCGGGUUGUAAAGUACUUUCAGUCGUGAGGAAGGCGGCGUCGUUAAUAGCGGCGUUGUUUGACGUUAGCGACAGAAGAAGCACCGGCUAACUCCGUGCCAGCAGCCGCGGUAAUACGGAGGGUGCGAGCGUUAAUCGGAAUUACUGGGCGUAAAGCGCAUGCAGGUGGUUUGUUAAGUCAGAUGUGAAAGCCCGGGGCUCAACCUCGGAAUAGCAUUUGAAACUGGCAGACUAGAGUACUGUAGAGGGGGGUAGAAUUUCAGGUGUAGCGGUGAAAUGCGUAGAGAUCUGAAGGAAUACCGGUGGCGAAGGCGGCCCCCUGGACAGAUACUGACACUCAGAUGCGAAAGCGUGGGGAGCAAACAGG